RNAcentral lists this ribosomal RNA (497 nucleotides) under uncultured bacterium. RNAcentral's name for it is "partial 16S ribosomal RNA". It matches the Rfam family "Bacterial small subunit ribosomal RNA", at positions 28 to 507 of the family's 1533-position model. The record is from RNAcentral.
GAUGAACGCUGGCGGCGUGCCUAAUACAUGCAAGUCGAGCGAACAGACGAGGAGCUUGCUCCUCUGACGUUAGCGGCGGACGGGUGAGUAACACGUGGAUAACCUACCUAUAAGACUGGGAUAACUUCGGGAAACCGGAGCUAAUACCGGAUAAUAUAUUGAACCGCAUGGUUCAAUAGUGAAAGACGGUUUUGCUGUCACUUAUAGAUGGAUCCGCGCCGCAUUAGCUAGUUGGUAAGGUAACGGCUUACCAAGGCAACGAUGCGUAGCCGACCUGAGAGGGUGGUCGGCGACACUGGAACUGAGACACGGUCCAGACUCCUACGGGAGGCAGCAGUAGGGAAUCUUCCGCAAUGGGCGAAAGCUUGACGGAGCAACGCCGCGUGAGUGAUGAAGGUCUUCGGAUCGUAAAACUCUGUUAUUAGGGAAGAACAAAUGUGUAAGUAACUAUGCACGUCUUGACGGUACCUAAUCAGAAAGCCACGGCUAACUACGUG